RNAcentral lists this transfer RNA (73 nucleotides) under Ailuropoda melanoleuca (giant panda). It matches the Rfam family "tRNA". From Rfam's summary of the family: Transfer RNA (tRNA) molecules are approximately 80 nucleotides in length. Their secondary structure includes four short double-helical elements and three loops (D, anti-codon, and T loops). Lineage: Eukaryota; Metazoa; Chordata; Mammalia; Carnivora; Ursidae. The record is from Rfam by way of RNAcentral.
GCCUGAUUGGCUCAGUUGGUAGAGCAUGCAACUGUUUAUCUCAGGGUUGUGAGUUCAAGCCCCACAUUGGAUG